RNAcentral lists this ribosomal RNA (415 nucleotides) under uncultured Eubacteriales bacterium. Its description in RNAcentral is "bacterial SSU rRNA". It matches the Rfam family "Bacterial small subunit ribosomal RNA", at positions 95 to 524 of the family's 1533-position model. Lineage: Bacteria; Bacillati; Bacillota; Clostridia; Eubacteriales. The record is from RNAcentral.
UUGGCGGACGGGUGAGAAACACGUGAGUAACCUGCCUUUCACUGGGGAAUAACAUCGAGAAAUCGGUGCUAAUACCGCAUAAUGUCACGAGACCGCAUGGUUUUGUGACCAAAGGAGUAAUCCGGUGAUAGAUGGACUCGCGUCCGAUUAGAUAGUUGGUGAGGUAACGGCCCACCAAGUCUACGAUCGGUAGCCGAACUGAGAGGUUGAUCGGCCACAUUGGGACUGAGACACGGCCCAGACUCCUACGGGAGGCAGCAGUGGGGAAUAUUGGGCAAUGGGCGAAAGCCUGACCCAGCAACGCCGCGUGAAGGAAGAAGGUCUUCGGAUUGUAAACUUCUUUGAUCAGGGACGAAUAAAUGACGGCACCUGAAGAACAAGCCACGGCUAACUACGUGCCAGCAGCCGCGGUAAU